Molecule: long non-coding RNA, 521 nt
Organism: Armigeres subalbatus
Lineage: Eukaryota; Metazoa; Arthropoda; Insecta; Diptera; Culicidae
Exons: 3
Source: RefSeq, a predicted model, not a curated record
AGAUUCAAACAAUCAAUUGAAGAAGCUGGGUGCGCAAGAAUGUUUACAAACGCAGUCCAGAAGCAGGAGAUAAUUGUCGGGAUAACUGCCGUCAAGAUGAUGCUGAAUGACUGUUUGUUUGCUAGAUGUCAAUUCGCUACAGAAGCCGAAUGGAUUGGGGUAGAUUCCGUUGCAAGUUUGCACCAAGCGAUUCGGACAUCCAGAUCCACUAGCGCUGCGGAACAUCCACUGGCGCUUAUGAAAUGCUCCAUGACCCUCGCCAUGACCUCCAUGAUGUUAUGCUCGCACAUAUAUCAAGGCUGUUGCUCAUCAUGUAACCAAAUCAGGGGAUUCUGUCCGGUGCUUAUUUGCUUAGUCUUCGGCUGCCGGUGAUUCAACAUCCGGAGGAUUUUUUACGCAAUAGAAUGACGUCGCGCUGACCACCAGUGUCUGGAAUUACCGCCGAGACAGCCGCUGGGGGUAUUUUGACUGAUGGUGAACGAACCGGGACGAAAGAGGCUUUUGAUACGCGAUGCGGCAAG